GGCCAGUCCGGGUGCAGUGAUAUUUAGACCUAAUUGAUCACAACCAGUUACAGAUUUCUUUGUUCUUUCUUCACUCCCACUGCUUCACUUGAAUAGCCUUUA
This 102-nucleotide Y RNA is filed under the name Propithecus coquereli (Coquerel's sifaka). RNAcentral describes it as "Y RNA (ENSPCOG00000007110.1)". It matches the Rfam family "Y RNA". From Rfam's summary of the family: Y RNAs are components of the Ro ribonucleoprotein particle (Ro RNP), in association with Ro60 and La proteins. Lineage: Eukaryota; Metazoa; Chordata; Mammalia; Primates; Indriidae. The record is from Rfam by way of RNAcentral.